AUCAUUGUAUUUUGUGAGGAGAGAAAGUAGAAAAAGAUAACUAGAUUUAGGUGAUCCUAUUCCUAAACAUGCGUUUAUUUUGGAAUAAAUUUUGAACUCUAAAAAUGCACUUAUUACGGGAUGCGAUGGAGGGAGUAGACAUCACAGUCAGACCAAAGGCACUUCCUGACUCUAAUUUGCUUUAAUCGGAUUCAGAUAUAUAUCCCGUACUAAUGACACGCGAUUAGCUUUUGAUGGCCACGAGACGACCUGCUCGUAGCUUGCGUGCACGACGAGGCCGUCGCCCAAGAACCAAGCCAUGAAUGCCCAUGCCGCCGCCGACCCAGAGAUGAUCGC
Molecule: long non-coding RNA, 336 nt
Filed under: Setaria italica (foxtail millet)
Lineage: Eukaryota; Viridiplantae; Streptophyta; Magnoliopsida; Poales; Poaceae
Description: long non-coding RNA (SITA_LNC005666)
Source: RNAcentral